UGCUUCUCGAAUUAUAUGGGAAGUUUAUUUCCUGCCCGGUGAUAUUUACCAUUUUACGGCCGCAGUACUCUGACUGUGCUAAGGUAGCAUAAUAAUUUGACUUUUAAUUGAAGUCUGGAAUGAAAGGAUGAACGGGUAAAACCUGUCUUAUAUUAAAAUUAUUGAAUUUGCUUAAGGGGUGAAAAUUCCCCUGAAAAGAAAAAAGACGAGAAGACCCUUAGAAUUUUUUAAAAAGCUAUAUAUUAUGGUUGAUAUUUUGUUGGGGUGACAAUUUCAAGAACAUAUAAUAAAAUUAAACUUCUAUAUAUAUAUAUUUAACAUGACGGGAAAUUUAUUCAUGAAAGGGAAAAUUACCUAAGGGAUAACAGCAUAAUAUUAUAUUAAGAUUAUGACCUCGAUGUUGGACUAGGAGCUAUAUAGUCAGAAACUAAAAUAGAUUUGUUCUGUUCGAACAAUUUAAUCCU
RNAcentral lists this ribosomal RNA (464 nucleotides) under Afristreptaxis ulugurensis (Verdcourt, 1965). Its description in RNAcentral is "Gonaxis ulugurensis partial 16S ribosomal RNA". The stretch from base 1 to 192 matches the Rfam family "Archaeal large subunit ribosomal RNA", at positions 1918 to 2143 of the family's 2987-position model. Lineage: Eukaryota; Metazoa; Mollusca; Gastropoda; Stylommatophora; Streptaxidae. The record is from RNAcentral.